UAACAGUAAUAAUAAUAAUAAUAAUAAUAAUAAUAAUAAUAAUAAUAAUAAUAAUAAUAAUAAUCAUGAUAAUGACGAUGAUAAUAAUAAUAGUAAUGAUGAUGACGAUGACCAGGAGGAUCACGAUUAUGACAUAAAAGAAUUAAUCUCGAACGAUCGCCGUGCUCGAACACGAUCGCGAGUGUUCUAUACUCGAAUCGAUAGGACGACGUCACGAUGACUCCUCUUCGAUUACGAAAAUGAUCUUUCGAGUUAUCGACAAUCGUUCGGGGAAACACGAUCGAAGGUCCCAUCACGUUUAAUCGUAGUUAAAGAGAAGAAUUUAUUCUUCGAAGGCUCGGUAGUAUGAAACGAUUCUUCGAAUGCAUGUUGUAUGUAUUGUUAAUUUGUUCGAUUCGGAUGACGUAAAAGGAGGAGAGUCCGAAAGAGAGGAAUCGAAAACGAUUAUUCGUGAGACCUUCGCCCUCGUGGAUGCUUAUUUUGAAAAGGCGUUGCGAACUAUUGGAAGGCCGAGAUCGUACCCCCAGCGUGUUCGCUCGCUCCCAUUCUCUAAAUAUUCCGAAUGAAUUAUUCGUACACGUAAGGAGAAUGUGUGUGAGUGUGUAUAUGUUUGUACGUGUUAGUGUGUGUGAGAGAAAAAGAGAGAGAAAGAGAGAAUCGCGGAGUCCGUUCUCGUGGAAGACGCAGAGAGCACGAUAUCGAUUCGACGACGACUGGAUUGCGUCCCGAAGGACGAUACGUUCCUUCGGCGUUUCUCGUAUUAUACGGGCUCGAAGAAUAUACGACAAUAAAAGAAGGAUCGUAGCCGCUCGAACACGAUCCAUACUCCGUGAGAGUUAAUCGAGAGACGGACGAACUCCUACGGCUUUUAUGGCUCCGCUCGUAAAGAUAUACCUACGGCUUUUUCUGUGGAACUGAGGACCCCUUCGAACGAAUACCCGGUCCAGGAAAAGUAGUAGAGAGACGUAGACGACGAAGAUAUGGAAAAGAACUGCGGUCUGGAUGCGUAAAUACAGAGAGGAGGAGUAUCCUUCGGGCUGUGGAAAUUUCGGUGAAAGAGGGUCGAAGCUAGCCAACCAAUUACUAUGCUGUAUAAAGGAAAAAAAAGUAAUAAAAAAUAAAAAAUAAAAUAAAAUAAAAUAAAAUAAAACGAACAUACCUAACGCAGUUAAGAUAAUGUACAAGUCUCUAGUGUGAUACAUUUCUACGCUUAUUCUCUAACUGUAGUCGUGAAGUCUAAAGUACGAUACCUCGUUAUGGUUUGUAACACGGAGAAGUAGUCCUGUAAUAACUAAAUAAUAAUAAUAAUAACAAUAAUAUUAAUAUUAAUAUUAAUAUUAAUAAUAUUAUUAAUAAUAAUAAUAAUAAUAAUAAUAAUAAUAAUAAUAAUAAUAAUAAUAAUAAUAACAAAAAUAAUAUUAAAAUAAAAUAUUAAUAAUAAUAAUGAAAAAAAAGUACGAUCAAAAAUCCGCUUAGGCUGACUGUUAACUCGCGAAAGACGUAUUGUAUUUCUGUAGGGAGCAAUUGUCCUAAUAAUUGCGAAUUGAACAUAAAGUAAAAAGAAAAAAAAAAAAAAAGAAAAAAAGAAAUGAGGAAGCAUAAAGCAACGUCACUGAGAGAACGUGAGAAAAAAGAGCUCAUAUAUAACAAGGAUAUAUAGAGGCGUGCGGAUCACCGAUUUAUGGAUGAAUGAAUGCGUGAAUAAUAAUGAAUGGAUGUGCAUAAUGAUGGACGAUCGACCAGUUCUGGUCGAUUCUCGAGUGUGUGUCACUUUAGCAAGCAAAGUAUUUCGAGAGUAUAGUGUUCGGAAUGUACAUAAUUCUUGUAUAUAACGAACGAAUCACUGAUUGUACAAUACCACCCAAAUAUAUUUAUAUUUCAUGUUAA
Long non-coding RNA from Vespa mandarinia (Asian giant hornet), 1887 nucleotides. NCBI's taxonomy places the organism in Eukaryota, Metazoa, Arthropoda, Insecta, Hymenoptera, Vespidae. The record is from RefSeq and is a predicted model, not a curated record.